Molecule: ribosomal RNA, 253 nt
Filed under: uncultured bacterium
Lineage: Bacteria
Description: partial 16S ribosomal RNA
Rfam family: Bacterial small subunit ribosomal RNA
Source: RNAcentral
UACGUAGGGGGCAAGCGUUGUCCGGAUUUAUUGGGCGUAAAGAGCGUGUAGGCGGUUUGGUAGGUCCGCUGUGAAAACUCGAGGCUCAACCUCGAGACGCCGGUGGAAACCAUCAGACUAGAGUCCGGAAGAGGAGAGUAGAAUUCCUGGUGUAGCGGUGAAAUGCGCAGAUAUCAGGAAGAACACCCGUGGCUAAGGCGGCUCUCUAGUACGGUACUGACGCCGAGACGCGAAAGCGUGGGGAGCGAACAGG